Molecule: long non-coding RNA, 395 nt
Organism: Asparagus officinalis (garden asparagus)
Lineage: Eukaryota; Viridiplantae; Streptophyta; Magnoliopsida; Asparagales; Asparagaceae
Exons: 2
Source: RefSeq, a predicted model, not a curated record
AACCCGUAAAGGACUUGCUUCCGCAGUCUAUAUACGCAGAUAUUAUGGUGUUGGCAUUUGAUGAGCAUGAAGCUGCAAGUGGUGGAGAGGCUAGAGGAGGUACCGUCGUAGGAAGCAGCAGUACGGUACGACAUUCUGAUGCAGCCGCCACCGAUGAUAGGGAUCACGACGAUAGAGACCACGACUAUGAUGAGUGAGUAAUGUGUUAGACUUUUUAGUAACUUUUGUGGACUUUUGGAUUGUGUUAAACAUAUUAUGACCUCCUGAUUAUGUAGACUUUUGGAUUGUGUUGAACAUAUUAUGACCUCCUGAUUAUGUAUAUAUGUGAAUUGUUAAAUGUUAAUAUUGUUGGAUGUGAAUCGAUGAAUGUAAAUGUUAGUAUUGUUGGAUGUGAA